RNAcentral lists this long non-coding RNA (5792 nucleotides) under Sus scrofa (pig). RNAcentral describes it as "lncRNA (ENSSSCG00050057134.1)". Lineage: Eukaryota; Metazoa; Chordata; Mammalia; Artiodactyla; Suidae. The record is from RNAcentral.
CAUUUGGGCUCACAGCUUCUAGAUGGGUCUCUGCAGGAGCUUUGUAGGCUGCUCAACAUGAAUCUUCUGCCUCUGACUGUGCGAUCACUGCUCUGCCCUUGGAGUUCUCCUCCUUUUCUUGAAGGAUACCACAUGUUUGCAGCAUAUAGAAAGAAGAUCAAAAGAGCUGAAGCUUCUGUCUGAAUUAUCCUGAGCACACUGAAUGACCCUGACUAACUGGUUCUUAAUAUUUCUGCUGGCUUAGCACCAAACGGGCACUACCUCUCUGUAGAAGCAGCCCCACAGGCUCUGAGGAAAGUAAGUGGGUGUCCUAGUGGGUAUUCUAUCAUCUGAAAACUUAACAAAAUUCAGUUUUGGUUUUGUGGGGGGUGGGGUGGUGUUUUUUGUUUUUUUUGUCUUUUGUCCUUUUAGGACCGCAUCAGCAGCAUAUAGGCUCCCAGGCUAGGGGUCCAAUCAGAGCUGCUGCCGCCAGUCUAUGCCACAGCCACAGCAACGCCAGAUCCAAGCCGCAUAUGUGACCUACACCACAGCUCACCUCAACGCUGGAUCCCCAACCCACUGAGAGAGGCUAGGGAUCAAACCCGCAACCCCAUGGUUCCCAAUCCGACUGUCUCCACUGAGCCAUGACAGGAACUCCCAGAUUCAAUUUUAAAGGAUCAUGUGUGCAAGAUAAGGUUAAGACUGCUGUCAUUAUAGAAGGAGACUCAGAUUCUGAAAAGCCUCUGAGUAUAGAAUCAGAAGCCUUUAUCAGAGUUCUUAUACUUAACACCCUGAGCCGAUAGAUAUGCCUACAAAUUGUCAAAUAUUUGCUAUCAGUUUAAAUCUGGUGAAUUAUUUCAAAUCUCUCCCAUCAUUUCUUGUCUGUCACUGCUCCCUUGUUUUCACCUAUUGCUCUAUGCUAGUGGGCUCUGGAAUAUAGCCGAUCUUACCAAUCCCUUCCAUUAAUUUAUUUCACACUGUUUGUUUUUAAGGCUACCCAAAGUAGAACUAACAGUGAGUACAAAGCUAUCACCAGUGAAAGAGUAAUAAUAAAAUUAUAAACAGUGACAGGGUAAUGAAGACAUUUAGAUUGGCUAUUUUAAAUUUUCCUUAGUUGCCAUUUUUAAGUAUCUUUUUUAUAACUUAGUUAUCAUAACUAAAUUUUCUACUGGUCUAUACAGAAUAGAUUUUCAUUGUGUCCUACUGCCAACCUAUUUUCUAUCAAUCCAUGUCCUUUCUGAGGUUGCUUCCUUUGAAAACCACCCAAAACAUACAAAAAAAAUUUAAGGUGUUUUUAAAAGUGUUUCUUUACUGCAGAAAAAAAAAAUUUAUAAUCAACUACACAGUUUUUCCAAAUAGCUAUUUUAAUAAUAUGUUAACUAAGUGCAUAUAUUAGAGUUAUACCAUUGCCUGCGAAGAUAAAUGAGCUUUGUUUUAGUGAGAAGAUCCUGAAAAGUAAAGGACUGAACUUGGGAAAAGAAUGUUUCUAUACCCUUGUCCUUUUAUCUUCCCUGCACUUAAAUAAUUUGAGAAUCUUGUUAGGCGAUUGUGAAAUAUAAAUGUAGGUGGACUGUUGAAAUGGAAAGCUUGAAGAAACAUGGGGUUCAUCAUGACCUGAGGGUGGAACAAAACAAGGAGAACGUUGUUGUUGUAAGGCGUAGCUCAUCUCCCUUCUGUAUUUUCUUCCUGUGAUCGGAUUUAAAUGAGUAAAGUACCUUCAGUGAAGAGUGUGACUGUUCUCCACACAGAAAUCAGAGAAUUUAUUGUUCCCAACUGUUUAUCAGAGUAAUCAUUAUAACCCAGUAACUAACGGAACUUCCUUGACCUAUCCAGAGAAUACGGCCACAUAUUUAUAAUUCUGAAGUCAUUUUGGUGAUUAGACUCAAGUGAUAGUGAACACAUAUUUCCAACACCAUCUUCCACAUGAAAUGCAGUAUUACCUAAACCCCGAGUUCACUGGCCUACAAGAAGAACAUAUCCUUUGAACUCACAUUUAAGCAUGGGACUGCAUGUAUUUAAUCAACUUCUGGACAACAAUGAAGUUGGGAAUGGACUUCUAGAUUCUAAGCCACAAUUUGUAUUUCAAAGAUCAGCUUAACAACAAUGACCAAGUCUGACCAACUAAACUUUGUAAACAUUGUUAAGGAUAAAGAUAAUAUCUAAUGUAUUUGGCCUCUAGCAAAUGCUGAGACAAACAGCUAAGAGUUUUAUUUUUCUCCCUACAGCCAAAUUCAUAUUCCACUCUCAGGUUUCUUCUGUGUCUACACAACAGAGUAUCUUCUGUGGCCUUCUAGAAAGUCACAUAUUGUUUCUACAAAGGCUAAAAGGUUUUUUUGAGCUGCCCCAGGUGAAGGAACAGUACAAUAAUCCAUUUAAUUCUCCCAAAGUCACAGCCUCCUCGUGCCUUCUUAUUCAUCUGUUUACUUCCUGUGCUUACUUUCUGGAUAAAAUAGAAAGUCCUUGCACAAAAUGAACUGUAAAUUUGAAAUAUAAAAUCUCAACAGUUAGUGGUUUCUAAGUAUUUAACUAAUAUCUUCUAAUAUUUUAUCAAUGUAGACAAGAGGAAAAUGGGAGAUUAAUUACAUGUCCAUCACACAAAAGUCCCUGGAGAAUACUCAACAUUUAAAACAAGGUACAGACUAAAUAAAUUAUUAUUAUAAGAUAAAAUAGAGAAUGAUAGUAGUGUAUUUCACAGGCAAAGCAUAGAAAAUGUGGAAUACUUCAGAUAAAUAUAUUUUGGAACAGACUAUAUGACUAGGAAGUACAAUAUCUGAUUUCAUGUCAAUGGAGCUUUUCCUGUUUUUAAUUCUAUACUUCUUCACUGAGACAUCUUAAAUGUAUAAAUAUAUCAACCAAAGAAGGAGACAAAAAGCAUAAUCCCUUUUUCAAAAGAAGACUCAUCUUGCAUUAAGAUGACAUUUCAUGAUUUCCCAAGAAAUGUCUAUUUAACUUGUAUAUAUAUACACACACAUAUAUAUUUAUGUUAUUUGCUUUUUCUUAGGGCCACAUCUGUGGAAUAUGGAAGUUGUGGGCUAUGAGUUGAACCAGAGCCAUAGCUGCCAGCCUACUACACCACAGCCACAGCCACAAGGGAUGUGAGCACAUCUAUAACCUACACCAGAGCACGUGGCACUACCAGAUCCUUAACCCACUGAGGAAGACCAAGGAUUGAACCCACAUCCUCAUGAAUACUAGUCAGGUUUGUUUCCACUGAGCCACAAUGGGAAUUCCCUUACAUUUUGAAAUAAUGAUUUUUCCCCUGUAUUAAACAGUAAUAAAGUGUUCUAAUUAACUUUGAACCCAAAGGAGGAAAACAGGAGAAAAGCGAUAUUGAAUGAAAAUAACCACUUCAUCUUCUGAUUCAAGCAAGAGUCAAACGUGAGACACAAUCUCAAAGUUUGUCUAAGAUUCCUUAGUAAAUGCUAAGAGCAAGCCAAUUGUGAUCAGAUUCAAUCUAAACAUAAUAAUGACUAUGGAAAAAAGCUGCUGUGAAGGAAAAAUGAUGAAAAUGUCAUUCCAAGAGAAAGUUUAUAAUUUUCAGAGUAGCUCAGAGGUAAACAGUUUAUGCCUACAAAUUUCUAAUGGUUAUGAGAAAUAAAAGUUCUUCUUAAAAUUGAACAAUAUUACAUAAUUUGCCUUUUCCAAUUGACUCAAACCAUCUCUUUAUUAACCUAGUUUUAUUUUUAUCUAAUUGUUUACAUUUGAAUGGAAAAGCUUUAUGGUGCAGAGAAAGGUGCAAUUGUUACAAAUGGAGGUGUUAUUCUUCAUUUCAGAGUUAUUCUUAAAUGUUCACAGAAAAAAAAAUGGAUAUUGAAUGUUUUGUCACACCUUUACUGGCCAAUUGCAUAAUGCCUCUUGUACAUUUCAUCAAAAGAUGAGCAUUUAAUGGUAUGUAUCAAAGACAAAUUCCUUCAGCUUGGAGUUAAAAAAAUCCAUCAUAACUACAAUGAUGCCACCAAGUGGCAAAAAGUGUGAUCUCUUAAAACCUCACAUCUGUGUAGCAUGUCCUGAAAGCUACUGUAAGAAAAUUUAUAUUUCAAAGGCCAAAUUUAAUCAGUGAAAUUUCUUUAUUUAUAAGAGCUUGUUGUCACAUGCUUUGGUUUAUUUUAUGACUUUUUGUUUAAUUCACAAGUCUUCUCCAAAUUCAUUUGCAAUGUGUCUUUCCCUUAUUCAUUCAGCAUUUACUGAACUCUCAACUCUGUUAGUCACAGGGACUAAGCUCUAGAAACACAGGAAUUUGUAGGACAAACAGUGUCUCUGCCUUCAUUAUGUGUUGAGUCUCACAACUUUUUCAACAAAUGCUCUGAUGUCUAGCUUAAAUUUAAAAAUCUUUUUAGAGCUACAAAACCUGGUUCUGUGAAAGAUUUAAAGCAUCAAAAGCAUCUUUGCAUUCAGUUCAAGCAUUCAUAUAUAUUAAAGCACUUCUUAUUGUUAUCUGCAACCUUCUGGAGAAUUGCAUAGCUGUCCUUUUAUCAACACCAAUUAACCACUAUUUAUUUUUUGUAUGCUAUUAGGCAAUUAAAGGUGCACAGGAUGAUAUGCUUUUUUAAAAUAGUCUGUUGCCACCUAAAUGACAUUUCAAAGGAGUAUCAAUUUUAGGAGAGUAGCAAAAAUAGGUCAUUUUAGCAAAGGAAAUUCUUCCAUAAGUGGAUCUAACUGAACGCACAUCUAUUAUUUUACAUAUCAGAAUAACUGAAUUUUGGCACUCAGUGAAUUUUUUCUUUAAUUUAAAACCCUGUUGCUACUACUAGAGUGUCAUUAUAGGAAACUUUAAAUACCACCAUUAAUCAUCUGAAGUUCAAAAAAAUGGUAGCAACAAAAUAGAAUCAAGGAUCAAGACAACACCAUAAAGCUGUAGUCAUGAAACAGUAUUUCUGGCAUAAAAACAAACAAGUAGACCAGUGGAACGGAAUUGAGAGCCCAGAAAAUAAACCCAAACUAAUAUUUGACAAGUGAGCCAAGAAUAUGCAAAUGGAGAUAAGACAGUCCUUUCAAUAAAUGGUGCUGGGAUAACUGGAUAUUCACAUGUAAAAGAAUGAAACUGGACUUAUAUCUUAUGCCAUUCAGAAAAAUUAACUCAAAAUGGGUUAAAGGCUUUAACUUCACAACUAGGAUAACAUUCAACUAAAAACUUCUACACAGCAAAGGAAAUCAUUAACAAAAUGAAAAGGCAAUCUACUGAAUGGAAGAAAAUAUUUGCAAAUCAUAUACCUGAUAGAAAUGGGCAAAUAACUUGAGCAGAUAUUGUUUCAAAAAAAUACACAAAAGGCCAAGAGGUACAUGAAAAGAUGCUAAACAUCACUAGUCAUUAGAGAAAUGCAAAUUAAAGCCACGAUGAGAUAUCACCUCACUCAUGUUAAAAUGGCUAUAAUCAAAAAGACAAAAGACAACUAAUGCUGAUGUGGAUAUGCAGAAAAGUGAACAUUUAUACAGCAUUGGUAGGACUGUUAAUUGGUACAGCCACUAUGUAAAAUAGUAUGGAGGAACCUCAAAAAAUUAAAAUUAGAAUUACCAUAUGGUCCAGCAAUUUCACUUCUGGGACUAUAUCAAAAGGAAUCAAAAAUGCUAACCUGAAAAGACAUCCGUAUCCCAUGUUCAUAGCAGCAUUAUUUACAAUAGCCAAGACAUGGAAACAGCCUAAUGUCUACUGAUGGAUAAAUGGAUAAAGAUGUGGUAUAUACCACACACACACACACACAAACACACACACACAGGAAUAUUAUUCAGCCAUUAAAAAAACAAAGAAAUCAUCCCAUUUCCAGCAACAUAGGUGUACACUGAAGGCAUAAUGCUAAAUGAAAAAAAAAAAAAAA